RNAcentral lists this long non-coding RNA (3590 nucleotides) under Homo sapiens (human). Its description in RNAcentral is "non-protein coding lnc-C21orf58-1:7". Lineage: Eukaryota; Metazoa; Chordata; Mammalia; Primates; Hominidae. The record is from RNAcentral.
GCUCCUCCUUGGUCCCCGCGCCAUGGCGCGUCCGCGUUGACCGCUGUCUUCCCUUUCGGGCUGUGCUGAUCGCGAACGCUGCGCAGUCCGUGGUGGCGUCGAGGCACCUUUCUCGUGCCUUUACCUGUGUUCACUCCUUUGCUUUAAAAAACAGCCCUAGAAGUACACAUCGUUGGCCCCGAAGGAGCCCCAGCAGCCAUGUCGGACCGCGAGGUGACCUUGGAGGGCGGGAGGACGGACGAGGGGCCUGGCGGAGCUAGACUGAGAGGGCGCCGCCGGCGUCCUGAAGGCCCUGCUCCCCGAAUGUGUGGGAGUGUGUCUGACGGUGCGAGGGUGGCUGUGGCGGGGCCUGAGCAGCGUGUCCGUGUCCCGAUGCCGCCCGCCUGUUACUGAGUUAGGCAGGAGUGCCCGAGUCUGGCGAACUUCAGCAGUUCUCGUUCCAGAGCUCCACACGAGGUUGGCCAAAGCUUUGCGGGACUUACAUACCCUUCUUCCUCCGCCCAGUCCUGCUUCCUUCCCCUUCCUUUCACGGGUGUUGAUACCAUGUCAACAUCCUCGUACCCCAAACUCAGUCGCAGCGUCUGCUUCUGGAGAAACCAUUCUGCAGCAUUAAAGCUGGUGAGAAGAUGGGAUUCGAGGCUGCAUCACUCACCAGUGGUGAAGUAGGAGGGUGAACUAGUGAAAUGGAAUCCACGAGUGGGUGAAGUAUCAGACAUUUCAUAUAUGGUGAACGUAGUAGAUAAAAGGAAGGAAAGGGGGAUUGGAUAGCUAUUGCUUAGUGCCAACCGAGACUCUUAAGAAUAGUGGUCAGCUGAAGGCAAGCAACAAACAGUUGUAAGCCAGUGAAUCUGUCCCGUUACAUAUAGAGAAGCUUCAUUUACUGCAGCAGGUCAAAGACAAGAACCAGGCCCAGGAAUUAACAUCCCUGUUUGACUGAACUCCAAAAAUAGCAAAACACCCAAACAAGGCAAUACUCUUCCACUAAGUUUGGAUCCCUGCUAAGAAAAGAUGAGGCUGGGCACAGUGGCUCACACCUGUAAUCCCAGCACUUUGGGAGGCCAAGGCGGGAAGAUUGCUUGAGUUCAGGAGUUCAAGACCAGCUUGGGCAACAUGACAAAACCCCAUCUCUACUGAAAACACAAAAAAUUAGCCGGGCAUGGUGGCCACGGCUGUGGUCCCAGCUGCUUGGGAGGCUAAGGUGGGUGGAUCACCUGAGCCCUGGAAGUCAGGGCUGUAGUGAGCUGUGACUGCACUCCAGCCUGGGCAACAGGAGUGAGACUCUGUCUUUUAAAAAAAAAAAAGAAAGAAAAGAAAAGCCCGUCAUACAUGGGUUGGAGAUACCUGGGUAGAUGCCUUCAAAGGUUUUGACUCCCCAAACUGCCUUAAACCUUUUUUUCGUAGACAGUGUCUCACUCUGUUGCCCAGGCUGGAGUGCAGUUGCUGGAUCAUGGCCCACUGUAGCCUCAACUUCCUGGGCUCAAACGAUCCUCCCACCUGAGCCUCCUAAGUAACUGGGACUACAGGUAUGUGUCACCACACCUGGAUACAUUUUUUAUUACUUGUAGAGGCAAGGUCUUGCUAUGUUGCCCGGGCUUGUCUCAAACUUCUAGGCUCCAGUGAGCCAUCACACCUGGCCUGCCUUGAACCUGAAGCCUGCCGGGGUGGCUCACCUCUCCUAUUAACCUGACACUACUCCUCCUCCCUCCACUUACUGCUCAGUAGAUGUAUAAUUAUGGUUGUUUCUUUUGCAUUAUUCAGCUGGAAACAAUGAGAUAGAAAAGAGAAUAUAGCUCCCUCCCCCUCAGAAGAACUGCGUUAUUAGUUUGCUGGGGCUUCAGUAACAAACUGGGCAGACAUUUAUUGUCUCCCAGUUCUGGAGGCUAGAAGUCUGAGAUCAAAGUUUUCACAGGGUUGGUUCCUUCUGGGGCUGGGAGGGAGAAUCUGUCUCAUGCCUCUCUCCCAGCUUCUGGUGGUUUGCUGGCAGUCUUUGGUUCCUUGGCUUAUAGAGGCAUUGUCCCAGUCCUGCCUUUAUAUUCACAUGGUGAUCUUGUUGUGUGUGUCUCUCCAGACGAAGGCAUAAGUAACAUCAUUGACAAAGGUCAUUCGACAUGGGCCUCUUUUUAGAAGGACACCAGUCAUACUGAUUAGGGCCCACUCUAAUGAGCGCAUCUUAACUUGUCUACAAAGACCCAUUUCCAAAUAAUGUCACAUUCACAUUGACCAGGGGUUAGGGCUUCAGCAUCUUUUGAGAGGGACACACUUCAGCCCAUAACAAGCUGUACCACCCAGCCAACAUGUACUGACAGGAGCUGGGAAAGUUUGGGGCUGGAUUAUGAGGGUGCUUGAUGAAGGGAGCUGGAAUGUAAACUUGCAUAGAUGUGUUUAUUGAAAUACGUGAUUUAACACCUUGGCAAAGAGUGGCUGCAGACUUCCUGCAAGGAUGGCUCCUAGAAUGGCGGUAUAGCUACUGCUGCCUAACAAAUUACUCCACACUUCGUGGCUUAAAACAAGAAUCAUUUCUUAUCUCUAGGUUACUGUGGGUCAGACAUAGUGGGGAUCGGUGAUCUCUCUAGGUUACUGUGGGUCAGACAUAGUGGGGAUUGGUUAUCUCUCUUCCACAGUGUCUGAGGCCUCAGCUGGAGCAGUUCAGAGGCUAGAGGUUGGAAUGAGUGAAGGUUCAUCUGCUCGAAUGUCUGACAGCUGAUACUGGAGAUUGGCUGCAGCCCAGAUUGGGGAUGUCAGCCAGCACACCCCUACACGGCCGGUCCCUGUGGCCGAGGCUUUCUCACAAUAUGAUGGCUGGAUUCCAAGGGCAAUCUAAAGACAAAGGACAAAAGAAAGCUGUAUCCUUUUUGUGAACCAGCCUCAGAAGUUGCAUACCAUCACUUCGGCUACUUCCUAUUUGGAAGAAAUGAGUCACUAAAUUACCCAUAUUCAAAAGGAGAGGAAUUAGGCUUCAUCUUCUAAAGGGAAGAAUAUCAAAAAAUUUGCCAGUAUAUUUUUAAAACACCACACUUGGAAAAAGCCAUGGGCCAUGGUAAGCAAAAUUGAAAUGGCAAAAUUGCUAUGGCAGACAGUGGUGGAAGGGAGUAAAAGGUUCAGGGGUGUGGGCAUGUUGAAAUUUAUAUACUCCGUGCAUCUAGAAGACAUUUGAGACGAUCAUAUUCCACAUGAAGGUGUAAAUAACACGUCAUUUAUAAAGAUCAUUAGACAUAGGAUGAUGAAAGGGGCACUGAUGUCACUAAAAUAUUCAGUGAUGGCUCAUCUCUGUAGGCAAGAAUGACAAUAGAAAGGCUGUUCCAGAACUUGGCUGGGUGAUAGCACUGGGGAUGAUAGGAUCCUAAGACAAAAGAGGCCAUUCUGGGACAUAGUGGGGACCAAAGAAAAAAACCCAAGAAGCCAAAGGCAACACUUAGCUGGCAGAAGUCAGAGGAUUGCAAUUAUAGCAGCCAGCAGGGUCUGAGUGGCAGCCAAGGGGACCUCACUUGUAUGGUUAUAGAACUGGUCAAUAAACAUGGCAUCCCUGGAGGCAAAACAGGUGGGCAGCUAAGAAGGGUACUACUCAGCUGGCAAAAAAAAAAAAAAAAAAA